CAGAGGGUGCAAGCGUUGUUCGGAAUCACUGGGCGUAAAGCGCGCGCAGGCGGAUGGUUGCGUCCGGAGUGAAAUUUCGCCGCUCAACGGCGAAGCUGCUUUGGAUACGGACCGUCUAGGGACCGGUAGAGGCUGGUAGAAUUGCAGGUGUAGCGGUGGAAUGCGUAGAGAUCUGCAAGAAUACCCGUGGCGAAGGCGGCCAGCUGGGCCGGAUCCGACGCUGUAGGCGCGAAAGCGUGGGGAGCAAACAGGAUUAGAUACCCUGGUAGUCCACGCCGUAAACGAUGGGCACUAGGUGCCGGGGGGAGCGACCCCCUCGGUGCCGCAGCUAACGCGAUAAGUGCCCCGCCUGGGGAGUACGGCCGCAAGGCUG
RNAcentral lists this ribosomal RNA (373 nucleotides) under uncultured organism. RNAcentral's name for it is "bacterial SSU rRNA". It matches the Rfam family "Bacterial small subunit ribosomal RNA", at positions 526 to 896 of the family's 1533-position model. The record is from RNAcentral.